This 836-nucleotide ribosomal RNA is filed under the name uncultured Pelagibacterales bacterium. RNAcentral's name for it is "bacterial SSU rRNA". It matches the Rfam family "Bacterial small subunit ribosomal RNA", at positions 1 to 877 of the family's 1533-position model. The record is from RNAcentral. Lineage: Bacteria; Pseudomonadati; Pseudomonadota; Alphaproteobacteria; Candidatus Pelagibacterales.
CAGAAUUCGCCCUUAGAGUUUGAUCAUGGCUCAGAACGUACCGCUGGCGGCACGCCUAAUACAUGCAAGUCGAACGGAGUAGCAAUACUUAGUGGCAGACGGGUGAGUAACAUGUGGGUAUCUUCCCUUUGGUGAGGAAUAACACGAGGAAACUUGUGCUAAUACCUCAUAAGUCUUUACGGAGAAAGCUUUAUGCGCCAAUGGAUGAGCCCGCACUUGAUUAGUUUGUUGGUGGGGUAAUGGCCUACCAAGACUGUGAUCAAUAGCUGAUUUGAGAGGAUGAUCAGCCACAUUGGGACUGAGACACGGCCCAAACUCCUACGGGAGGCAGCAGUAGGGAAUCUUGCACAAUGGAGGAAACUCUGAUGCAGCGAUGCCGCGUGAGUGAAGAAGGCCCUUGGGUUGUAAAGCUCUUUCGUCGGGGAAGAAAAUGACUGUACCCGAAUAAGAAGGUCCGGCUAACUUCGUGCCAGCAGCCGCGGUAAUACGAAGGGACCUAGCGUAGUUCGGAAUUACUGGGCUUAAAGAGUUCGUAGGUGGUUAAAAAAGUUGGUGGUGAAAGCCCAGAGCUUAACUCUGGAAUUGCCAUCAAAACUUUUUAGCUAGAGUUUGAUAGAGGAAAGCAGAAUUUCUAGUGUAGAGGUGAAAUUCGUAGAUAUUAGAAAGAAUACCAAUUGCGAAGGCAGCUUUCUGGAUCAUUACUGACACUGAGGAACGAAAGCAUGGGUAGCGAAGAGGAUUAGAUACCCUCGUAGUCCAUGCCGUAAACGAUGUGUGUUAGAUGUUGGAAAUUUAUUUUCAGUAUCUCAGCGAAAGCAAUAAACACACCGCCUGGG